RNAcentral lists this ribosomal RNA (254 nucleotides) under uncultured bacterium. RNAcentral's name for it is "partial 16S ribosomal RNA". It matches the Rfam family "Bacterial small subunit ribosomal RNA", at positions 524 to 776 of the family's 1533-position model. The record is from RNAcentral.
UACGAAGGGGGGCUAGCGUUGUUCGGAAUUACUGGGCGUAAAGCGCACGUAGGCGGAUUGUUAAGUUAGGGGUGAAAUCCCAGGGCUCAACCCUGGAACUGCCUUUAAUACUGGCAAUCUAGAGUCCGAGAGAGGUGAGUGGAAUUCCGAGUGUAGAGGUGAAAUUCGUAGAUAUUCGGAGGAACACCAGUGGCGAAGGCGGCUCACUGGCUCGGUACUGACGCUGAGGUGCGAAAGCGUGGGGAGCAAACAGG